GAAACCAGGUGAACAUGAGAUCUCUCUGUUUUAUUUCUUACAACUCCAUCUCAGAAUAACAAGUUUAUGGCUGGCUUAGUCCUACACCAUCCUGGGAGGCAGGUGAGACCAGAAGUGGGACUGGUGUCCACACACAUAGCCCCAGGCCCACAGUGUGUCCGCGGCCCCUUUCUGGCAGGGCCUCAUUGCCCAGGGCUCUGACAUCCUUCAGGCACCCUCUGUCUGUCCCACAUCCGCAGCAGCUAUGUGCCUCUCUUUCCUCUCAGUCCCAAAAAGCAUCAGUUAUUGAACACAUUGUCUAUGCCAGAUGGCCAUGUGGCUGCAGAUGAGCAGCCACCAGUGUCUUGCUUGCUGCCCAGGAGCCUCUCCAGUGACUGGAUGGAGAAGACCCAGUCUGGGGGUCAGGUAGAUGGUCUGUGCCCAACACAACCCCGCCCCCCAAUUGCACCCUGCCAGGCUUGGCAGGAGGCCUGGCACUGGGGCUGGCAUCAACUGGGCCCAGAAGGUGGUCAUGGAGGCCUCGCUUACGCUUGUUUCCCAUAAUUCUGGCUGCUUCCAGUCCCUUUCCUCUCCAGACACUGACGCAGAGCCUACCAACACGCUGAGGCCCCCUUUCUCAGCUUCCUGCUCGGCCACCAUAUCUUCUCAUUACCUGUUUACCCAUCUCCCCUUUGGAAUUGCCUUGAGUUCCACGGGUGUGACAUCAACAGGCCUGGAAUGCCAUCCCCAGUCGCCACGCGAUCACCAAGACCACCACUGUCGUGCUUCUCCAUCCUUGCCCCCCCACCCCUUGUCACAGCUGUCUCCUCCCUGGGGUUCCAGGAGGCCCGGGCUGCUUCCUUCCCUUGAAAAUCCAUGUUGUCACAAUUGGGACUGUCGCUCUUUUUGAUGCUCAAAAUAACCUCGAAGACCAGUUGCAGCCAAACAGUCCCCCUGGGCACAGAUGGGGAGACUGAGCCAGGCCUGCUCCUGACCUCCUGACCUCGGGACAGCUGGGCCUGGGGACAGUGGCCCGGGACAGGGCACUGGAGGGUGCAAAGGCGUUCUGGUUGUACUCCUGGUUACACUGGUGUCUCUCAUCGGAAUCGUGGACCCGGGCCUGGGGAGGAGGUCUGGCAGAGCCCUCAAGGCCACUGCGGCAGCAAGGCCCAAAGGCUUCUCUGCUUUUCUGGGCCCCAACUUGGCCAUCGUCUGCCUGGGGUCCCUCCGCCCUUCUCUAGGCGGUCCCUUGGGCCUCUGUGCCCAGCCCCUUUCUCCUGGCCUGUGGUCAGCAUCUCAUGGGGACCUGUGGCAUGUUGACCCCCCAGUGUGAACCCUGGGAGAGGAGGGUGGCGACCACCGCUUUCUCCUGCAUGUGCUGCUGUGUGUUGCAGCCGGACAGGGCUGGUGGCCGCCAUGCAGGCCAGAAGCACCAGUCCUGCCUACUCUGUGCCCUCUGCCUGCAGCCGGCAACUGCCUGGGAAGUCCUGGAGGGAGGACAGGGCUAGCACACCGGCAGUGCAUCUUGCCCCGGGGGCCAUGCACGGCUGCUCACGAGGCUAGAGCGUGGGGCAGCACACGCCCCAGAAGACAGCGGCACCUGGGGGUGGUUGCGAAGAGUCGUGGCUGCAAAAAUGAGUCUGUUUGCAGGCAUCAUGGCGUAUGGUGGUGGGUCUGUCUACCACCAACUGGGAGCCCCUCCCCUCCUGAGGGCUUGGUGCGGUUCUGGCCUGUGGUGAGUGUGCAGGGAACACCUGAUGGGGACUGAGGCCAAACAGGAGCAGAGAGGAGCAGGGCAGAGCCGGGCCCUCACCCUGGAGGCGGGAGCAGGAGGCCUCGCCCAGGCAUUGGGGAUGGCAGCCCCUCACCUCCUAAGCAUCCACCGUGAUCCUGGCCCCAGACCUCUGCCCUGUGCCGGGCAGGCAGAGCUCUGCAGAUGGCUCUUCUCUGCAGGCAGAGGAACCCCCGACGACCUGCAGCCAGAAAGAGGGGUGGGAAGGAGAUGAUGAAGGGGAGUGAACUGAGACCCUGAGUCCUUGCCCUCACCCAAGUAUGACCAGUCACCAGAGACCAGGAAACCAGAUGACGGAUGUCUGCUCUGAGGGCUCUGGUCGCCGCCUUCUCACCUGGGCAUGACAGCCAGUGCACCUGUGCCACCAACCCACUCUGCCCUCCCCGGCUGGUGCCCGGGCCCCAAGGCCAGCCUGCACCAGGCAGGGUGCCACCAGCAGGGCAGGUACCAGGGCCACGGAGGGCCUUGGCCUGCGCAGCUGGGCAGUGGGCACCAGAGCCCUCGCUGCGUCCUGUUGAUUCUGGGAGGGUUUUCCGAUCUGUCUGGCCUGAUGCUCGCAUGGCCAGCCGGGGAGCUGGGAUGCAGUGGAGAGCUGGAGCCAGCCUUUGCAACCCCAAGCCCCGGCCCUCGCUGGCAGAGAGGUGGGCCGUGGGGGAGGGGCAGGAGCUUCCCUCCGCUGUCUGGCGGGCCGCCUCCAGAUCUAGGUCAUCGUGCUUCAGCCUCACUCUCUGCCUUCCGCAAGCUGUGUUCCGUGGGAUUUUUUAAAUACCUGAAUGCCUCUGGGAGAAACUCAGUGUUGGUGCCAUUUCGUAUCUGCACCUUCGGCUUUUCGUGACAUUACAGAGCUACAGCGAGGACAGAGAGUCUCAGAGAUGCCAGGACACCUUGAGGAGGUCGCCUCCAGCCCCCUGGUAGCCCCUGAGCGCAUCCCUUUGGAGGGCCCCCAGGGUCACACGGUCAGGCAGCUCUUCCCCACUGAGUCACACUGUGCUCAGGGUCCCUGUCACCCCGACCCCUGCCCUGGGCUGCGUUCUCUCCCAGGGCCCUUCAGUGGUCUGUCUCUCAUUGGCUGCAGCUGGAGGCCCACAGUCCCCUGACCACUGACCCUCGAGGGGGCAGGGGCGCCCGCCUCCCCUCUGGGUCCCCGGGUCCCAAGGCUGGCUCACCGCCGCAGAGCACAGGCGCCCUUUGUGGCCUGCUCCAGCUGCCCAGUGAGUGGCGGAUGCAGUGUGGACCAAGGCUCUGCCCCACUUGGAAGCCUCUCUGUCCCUGGAGCACACAGUCGCUUUAACGGGGCGAGCGUGCCCUCCUGGCAGGGCAGCUGCUGUGGACUCCAAGCUCUUUUAAUUGGCCUGUGUCCAUCGGUGACGAGGACGGGUGUGUGUCAUCACGCUCUUACAUUUUUCUAACAAGGAGAUCAAGAGAAACAUUCUCCAAUGGCCCUCACUGCACACACAAGCCCCCCUCCAGAGCUCCUGGGGCCCACGCACCCGACUCGGCCACCUGCCCGAGGCUCCGAGGCCUGGGGUCAGCAGGGAUGGGAAGGGUAGUCCAGGCAGAGGAAGGCACGAAGCCAGGGGGCACCCACAAGUGCAGGGCAGGAGGUGUGAGUGGGGCGGCAGCCCUCCUGACUCAGUGGUCUCAGGUCUUCUCACCUGUAUGGCUGAGCCAGUGCAGCAGGCCCAGCAAGGACAGUACGUGGGAGCGGUGCCCACAAUCAGACAAAGGCAGGGCCCAGGAGGGCAUCAGAGCCCAAUGGGGCAGCCUGACCAACCAGGGCAUGUCCCUGGCCUGCCUGGGAGCUGGUCACACCCUUUGGGGGAGCGAGGUCUGGGCCCAGAGGUUGGGGUUCGCUGUUUGGUCUCACCACACUCUGAACCUCCGCUUCCUGGUCUGAGCAGGGGCCCAACUACACCCAUUCCAGCCUGUGUUGGUGCCUCCGGGAAGGGCGGGGUAGGUAAGGGCUGCAAGCGCCCGAGCCUGCUCUACCUGACAUCUGUGUGUCACCUGGAGCAAACUGCUCCAUCUCUGAAACUGGCACCCGUGUCACCUGCCACCUCCGUCAUGCCUGUCACUGUGGUUUACACAGAGCCCAUCUCCCCACAAGUUGCUUCCUUUUCCGGCCCCAGGUGACCACACGGACGCCCACGAGUCUGUGCUGGAGGGGAGGGAGACAGCACAGGCUACACGCAGCCUCUGGAGAAUUUCUUCACUAAAGGAGGUUUUUUCCUGAAAAACGUCAAGCUAUUUGUAGCCCAAGUCAGUUGAGCAGAUUUUUCUGGGUGUAGCUUAUUUUAUCACUCAUUAACUUCUUUUCUUUAUGAAUUAAAAAGUAGCAUUUUUUUUCCCACCCAGGAGCAUUUUAUUUACUUCUCUCAGUGCCACAACCAGCACUUUCUCUGCCUGCUGGGGAGGGAGACUCAGAUCCUGCUCGAGGACGCCAUGGCCCCUAGGAUGUAGGCAUAGGUGGUGCGUCCAGAGCAGGCCCUACCACUCCACCCGUUCCUGACCUUGCACGUCCCUGUCACCCCUGCAGAGCUGCCCUGUUUGAUGGACAGGAGCCGUGCAAGGGUUAGCAGCAUCCCGGCUGAAGAAAGCGAGAGAGGCCCUAUGCUGUUCCACCUGGGAAAUCUGGGGGCACAUCCUACGAUUCUGCUGGCCAACACCCUGGUGGCCCAAUUUCCUGACUUCAGAAAUGUCCCAGGCAGAUACUUUGCCUAUAGAGCAACGGGUGCUGCUACCCCUCCGGUCUCUCAGCCAGAGGGGGACAGCCCCAGGGUGUCUGUGGUGGGAUUCGGGCUGUCCCCCGGACUCACAGAAGUGGGAGGCCAAAGCCCCAGGGGAGUGGCUCCCAGUCCUCUUUCCACCAGCUCCACACCAACCCUCCAGACCUAAAAUGCUGGGCUCUAAUCCUGCUGCGUCUCCGUAUGUCGUCUUUUGGAGCGCACUUACCUCAGUGGAAAAGAUCCUGUUCAUGCGGUGCACCUCGUCCUUUUGUCUCCCAUCUGCAGAAUCACUUUUAAACCCCAGAUUCUUGUACCCGCGCAUGUCCCUGCCUCUUCCCCAGCUAUGCCUUUGAUUGCAGUUCACUCCCCCAUCGCCCCACCCCACCCCCGCCCCCACCCGGGUGCCUGGAGCCCCACCC
Molecule: long non-coding RNA, 4916 nt
Organism: Equus caballus (horse)
Lineage: Eukaryota; Metazoa; Chordata; Mammalia; Perissodactyla; Equidae
Source: Ensembl